Marmota monax (woodchuck) is the source of this 2923-nucleotide long non-coding RNA. RefSeq lists it as uncharacterized. Lineage: Eukaryota; Metazoa; Chordata; Mammalia; Rodentia; Sciuridae. The transcript is spliced from 6 exons. The record is from RefSeq and is a predicted model, not a curated record.
GUAGGAGCUUGGUGGAGUGGUCUGGAUUCGGUGGGCCUUUGGGGACUGGUCCGGGAGUCAGGCGUGGGCGUGAGGCCUUUCCUAGAAUCUGAAUCCCAACUUGGGCGGGAGCGCACCCUGAGGAUGCCGGAAGUGAGGAAUUCUGGCUGCUCGGCAUCCUGGAAGAGAAGUGUCUCAACACAUUCUUUGGACUGAAUUUCUUCUACAGUGGAACCAAGAAGAGGAUUAAUUAAUACAUUCAAUUCUAAAAUAAACCAUGGCCAAUGGGUUGGUGUUGUUCAGAGAUGUGAGACGUCUCUCAAGAAGAAUGGGAAUGCCUGAAUCCUGCACAGAGGAAUUUGUACAAAGAUGUGAUGUUGGAGUACUAGAGCAACUUGGUUUCACUUGGACUUUCUGUUUCUAAGCCAGCUGUGAUUGCCUCAUUAGAGCAAGGGAAGGAACCCUGGAUGGUUGUGAGGGAAGUGACAGGAAGAAAAUAUUCAGCUAAGAACCAGACAUGUGAGUGAGGAAGCUGUUGAAAUGAUUUGGCCUGACCACUAUCUGACUACCACUGAAGAAACUCCAAACUUGGCAUCAAAAGCUGACCCCAAGAAGUUAUCUCCAAAAAGGGACAUUUAUGAAAUAGAAUCAUCCCCAUGGGCUAUUGUGGAAAAUUUUAUUCCUGAGGGAUCCAUUUUCAGGGAUAUUUGGGAAUGCAAAUGUCAUUUUGAGCAAAAGGAGUGUUAUUUCAGGCAAUUUAUGAUGUACCAUGAAAACGUGCCCAUUUUUAUUCAACAUACUUUACUUACUCAAAAUGGAAAGAAAAUCUCUGAAUGUGAAAAAUGUAGAAAAAACUUCUAUUAUCAUUUAUUCUUUUGUCAACACAAAAAUCAUUCUAAAGAACUUUCUGAAUGUAAAGAGUACACAGAAAUUAUUAAUACCCCGUUCCUUAUUAAACAACAGAUAAUUCAAUAUGGUAACCAAUGCAAUGGAUGUAAGAAAUGCUGGAAGACCUUUAUUCAUUGUUCACAACUUAAAAAACAUUUGAGAAUUAAUAAUGGUGAAAAACGCUAUGAAUGUAGAGAAUGUGGAAAGGCUUUUAAUUAUGGCUCAGAACUAAUGUUACAUCAGAGAAUUCACAUUGGUGAGAAACCCUAUGAAUGUUAGGAAUGUAGGAAGGCCUUUAGACAGAGAUCACAACUGACUCAACAUCAGAGACUUCAUACUGGUGAGAAACCCUAUGAAUGUGAGCAAUGUGAGAAAGCUUUUAUUUGUGGCUUUCAACUUACUGAACAUCUGCAAUUCCAUACUGGUGAGAAUCCUUAUGAAUAUAAAGAGUGUGGAAAGACUUUUAGGCAUCGCUCACACCUUACCAUACAUCAAAGAAUUCUUAUGGGUGAGAAAUCCUAUGAAUGCACGGAAUGUGGGAAAGCCUUUAGCUAUUACUCAAGCUACUCUCACCAUCAGAAGAUUAAUUCUGGUCAGAAGCCUUAUGAAUAUAGUGAAUGUGGAAAGGCCUUUCAUAAUUGGCUUAAAACUUAACCUACAUCAGAGAAUUCAUACUGGUGAGAAACCCUAUGAGUGUAAGGAAUGUGGGAAGACUUUUAGACAGUAUUCACACCUCAAAAGACAUUAACAAAUUCAUACUCAUGAGAAACCCCAUGAAUGUAUGAUAUGUGGUAAAACCUUUAGACUUCAUUCACACCUUAUUCAACAUCAGAGAAUUCACACUGGUGAAAAACCCUAUGAAUGUAAGGAAUGUGGAAAGACCUUUAGCUAUCACUCCAGCUUCUUGCAUCAUCAGAGAAUGCAUUCUGGAAAGAAACCUUAUGAAUGUGUCAAGGUCUUUAAUCAUGGCUUACAACUCAAUCUACAUCAGAUACUUCAUACUGGUGAGAUACCAGUAAAGUUUCCUCUCCUCCCUCCACAUCCAAGUUUCACUUCAUAAAAUUAUUUUUGGAGAAAAUACACCUUUUCCUCUCUAAUUUCCAUAUAAGAGAAAAUGUACGACCCUUGACCAUCUGAAAUGGGCAUAUUCCCUAAACUAAUGUUCUUAAGUUCCAUCCAUUUUCCUGCAAAUGAUGUAAUUAAAGUUUUCUUCAUGGCUGAACAUAACUCCCUUAUGAUAUAUACCAUAUUUUCUUUAUCCAGUAAGCCAUUGAAAGAUUCCUAAGCUGGAUCCAUAGUUUGGCUAUUGUACAUUAUGCUGCUAUAAAUAUGGGUAUGCAUGUAUCCUAUAGUAUGAUAACUUUAAUUCUUUAGGAUAAAUACAAGUUCUAUUCCUAGUAUUUUGAGGAGCUUCCACAUUGAUUUCCAUAGUAGUUGUAUUAUCAUCCCACAAGAGCUUCCUUUUUCUCCAUAUAUCCUCUCCAGCAUUUUUUUUUUUUUUUUGGUACUGGGGACCAAACCCAGAGGUGUUUUACCAGUGAGCCACAUGCCCAAGCUUUUUUAUUUUUUAUUUGGAGGCAUGGUCUUGCUAAGUUGCUUAGGACAGCCUGGAAUUUGUGAUCCUCCUGCCUCAACUUCCUGAAUUGCUGGGAUUACAAGUGUGUGUCACUGCACCUGGCCAUUGUUUGUAUUCUUGUUGGCUGCCAUUCUGACUGGAGUGAGGUGAAAUCACAGCGUAGUUUUGAUUUUCAUUUCCCUGAUUGCUAACAGUGUUGAAUCAUUUUUCAUAUAUUUGUUGGCCAUUUUUAUUUCUCCUUUUGAGAAGUUCUGUUCAUUUAUUAAUUGGAUUAUUUGUUGGUAUUAAGUAUUUUUGUGUUCUUUAUAUAUUCUGGAUAUCCUCUGUCAGAAAAGUAACUAGCAAAGAUUUUCUCCAAUUUUGUAGGCUCUCUCUUCACAUUCUUUUUUUAAAAAAAAUUUUUUUAGGGCUGGGGAUGUGGCUCAAGCAGUAGCGCGCUCACCUGGCAUGCAUGUGGCCCGGGUUCAAUCCUCAGCACCA